UACGUAGGGGCCUAGCGUUGUCCGGAUUUAUUGGGCGUAAAGAGCUCGUAGGCGGCUUGGUUAGUCAGGUGUGAAAUCUCCACGCUCAACGUGGAGGGGCCACCUGAUACUGCCAUGGCUUGAGUCCGGUAGGGGAGUGUGGAAUUCCCGGUGUAGCGGUGAAAUGCGCAGAUAUCGGGAGGAACACCCGUAGCGAAGGCAGCCCCCUGGGAUGUGACUGACGCUCAUGUACGAAAGCGUGGGGAGCAAACAGG
RNAcentral lists this ribosomal RNA (254 nucleotides) under uncultured bacterium. RNAcentral describes it as "partial 16S ribosomal RNA". It matches the Rfam family "Bacterial small subunit ribosomal RNA", at positions 524 to 776 of the family's 1533-position model. The record is from RNAcentral.